Molecule: ribosomal RNA, 253 nt
Filed under: uncultured bacterium
Lineage: Bacteria
Description: partial 16S ribosomal RNA
Rfam family: Bacterial small subunit ribosomal RNA
Source: RNAcentral
GACAGAGGGUGCAAACGUUGUUCGGAAUUACUGGGCGUAAAGCGCGUGUAGGCGGUUAUGCAAGUCGGGGGUGAAAUCCCCGGGCUCAACCCGGGAACUGCGUCCGAUACUGGCAGGCUUGAAUCCGGGAGAGGGAUGCGGAAUUCCAGGUGUAGCGGUGAAAUGCGUAGAUAUCUGGAGGAACACCGGUGGCGAAGGCGGCAUCCUGGACCGGCAUUGACGCUGAGGCGCGAAAGCCAGGGGAGCAAACGGG